GCGAACGGGUGAGUAACACGUGAGCAACCUGCCCCUGACUCUGGGAUAAGCGCUGGAAACGGCGUCUAAUACUGGAUAUGUGACGUGACCGCAUGGUCUGCGUUUGGAAAGAUUUUUCGGUUGGGGAUGGGCUCGCGGCCUAUCAGCUUGUUGGUGAGGUAAUGGCUCACCAAGGCGUCGACGGGUAGCCGGCCUGAGAGGGUGACCGGCCACACUGGGACUGAGACACGGCCCAGACUCCUACGGGAGGCAGCAGUGGGGAAUAUUGCACAAUGGGCGAAAGCCUGAUGCAGCAACGCCGCGUGAGGGAUGACGGCCUUCGGGUUGUAAACCUCUUUUAGCAGGGAAGAAGCGAAAGUGACGGUACCUGCAGAAAAAGCGCCGGCUAACUACGUGCCAGCAGCCGCGGUAAUACGUAGGGCGCAAGCGUUAUCCGGAAUUAUUGGGCGUAAAGAGCUCGUAGGCGGUUUGUCGCGUCUGCUGUGAAAUCCCGAGGCUCAACCUCGGGCCUGCAGUGGGUACGGGCAGACUAGAGUGCGGUAGGGGAGAUUGGAAUUCCUGGUGUAGCGGUGGAAUGCGCAGAUAUCAGGAGGAACACCGAUGGCGAAGGCAGAUCUCUGGGCCGUAACUGACGCUGAGGAGCGAAAGGGUGGGGAGCAAACAGGCUUAGAUACCCUGGUAGUCCACCCCGUAAACGUUGGGAACUAGUUGUGGGGUCCAUU
RNAcentral lists this ribosomal RNA (722 nucleotides) under Microbacterium sp. IBT2679-C05. Its description in RNAcentral is "bacterial SSU rRNA". It matches the Rfam family "Bacterial small subunit ribosomal RNA", at positions 98 to 833 of the family's 1533-position model. Lineage: Bacteria; Bacillati; Actinomycetota; Actinomycetes; Micrococcales; Microbacteriaceae. The record is from RNAcentral.